AUGCGUGGCGAGCGAUUCUGGGUGGGACGACGCUUCGCUGGAAGGAUCCACCGACGGGGCCGGUCAGCUAGCGCGUGUGCUCGCCACACACCCCAAAUCCUCCCCCACGCGGCCACGCCUACUCAAGCAAACAGACGAUCCAUCCAUCCAAACCAAUCCGACCAACCAAGAAACACCGCCGGCCGCAACCACCAAGAACCUUCAUCCAUGGUGACCCUGUUCUGCGCAGCCGCUGCCACCUCGUGCCGCCUAACCUUCCCGCUUGCCGCGCCGGCGCCGGCGCCAGGCCUUGGCCGCGGCCGGGUCCGACGGGGCACGGUGGCGGUGCGUGCGGAUGGAGACACCGCCGCUGCUGGGAGCGGGAUAAACCCGGCCAUCCGAAAGGAGGAGGCCAAGGUGGUCGACACCGUCCUGGCCGGGGAGCUCUCCAAGCCGCUCACCCCGUACUGCCGGUGCUGGAGAUCGGGAACAUUUCCACUGUGUGAUGGAAGCCAUGUGAAGCACAACAAAGCAACGGGAGAUAAUGUAGGGCCCUUGCUUGUUAAGAAGUAG
This 552-nucleotide ribosomal RNA is filed under the name Triticum aestivum (bread wheat). RNAcentral describes it as "partial small subunit ribosomal RNA". Lineage: Eukaryota; Viridiplantae; Streptophyta; Magnoliopsida; Poales; Poaceae. The record is from RNAcentral.